Molecule: long non-coding RNA, 5927 nt
Organism: Orbicella faveolata
Lineage: Eukaryota; Metazoa; Cnidaria; Anthozoa; Scleractinia; Merulinidae
Source: RefSeq, a predicted model, not a curated record
ACAAUCAGGAAAACAACAUUCAACAGGAUAAUAUAAAAUUUACAUAAAAUCAUUACUUUUCCACUUCAUGCUUAAGAAAAUUACUUAUUUACAAUUUGAUACCACGCGUAGCUAUUAAGUGUCAAGAGGCCUUUUCAGCCAAGGGAUAGUCAGAAAGUGAUGGUAAGCAUAAUUAGGUGUCGUGUAAAUGGCAUCCGUCUCAUCUCUGAGGAACACAAGACUCGAGGAGCAGGUGGUAGUGAAGCAUCGUUAUACUUAUGGAGAGAUCCUCAAUGGUAUGAAAGCAAUCAGAUAGAUAUAUGAUAGUUAUCUUGGAUUGCAUGCCAAUAAAUUUGUUAUGAGAUAGUCGAGUUUCCUGCCGAUCAAUAAUUCAAUAAUCCAAAGGAGUUUUAAAAGCACCAUGAUUCCUCUGUGUUUCACUCUGGUGGAAUGUUGAAGAUGAACGCUCUAAAAUUUCUGGUGAUUCUCUCCCUGCUUCUGACUGUAGUCGCUGGACGGAGCAGGAGGGGAUGCAGUGAUUGGGGCAUUGCCAUGGGCUGCCAUGAGAAAUUCAAGCAAGACGCCGGCAUUUCGCGGGUGCGCAAAGAGGAAUGGCGAGGAAUUCCUGCAACAUUUCAGGACCAAGAUGAAGGAGACAUUCCAGACGACAGCAACAAUGCAUGGAAUGCGAUGGAUUUGGAAAUGAAGAACAGAAAGAGGGCAUCUGGAUACAAAGGUUUCAAGGCUUAUUUAGAGGACUUUGAUCAAUAAACAAGGAUUAAAAGCCAAGACACGAUAUUUUGCAGAUUUUAGAAAUAUUACUUAUUGUAAAAUUCUAGUAACAUAAUAGUGCCUGAAAUCUGUUUUGUUGUUGUUAUUUUUUUGUUUUUUAGUUGUCUAAAUUAAAAACUGUGGUCAACUUUAAACGCAAUAAAAAGUGGUGAACUAAGCAAAUGCACAGUAAUCAAUUAGUUCCUUGACAUCGAUUAAAAAAAACAUCAAACGAUAGAUCCAACCAAACACCAAUCAGUAGCACACUGCAUGUUUUAGAGAAAACACUCUGCUAUCUGAACAAGGAUAGCAGAGAGAUAGCACAGAUAUUAUUAUUAUUAUUAUUUUGGUGGGAGGGGGAUGUUGGGUAAUUUUCUUGGGAAUGAUUUUUUUCUUGUUUUCCUUGGCAAUAGCUCGUGCAAGAAUUUGUUUUCACAUUUAAAAUCAAAAUAAUGAUAGCAGAAAGCGCUUGCUUAAUUUUUGUUCCCAUGGCUCCCCUUGCACGAUUUUGUUUUUCAGCAUUUUUUUUUUCUGUGCAGGAAUUUUUGUUUGGGAAAUUCCCAAUCCCUCCCCUCCACCCCCUCAAAAAAAUAAUGGUCUGUCUCUAAAUACGUAAGGUCCGAGAAUAUUUUUUUAAGCAAACGUGUUAUAUAUGUCUGUCAUUCAUACCUUCCUAAUCUUCUCAUGAUUCUCUAGAAGAGAAGACGUUUUGGAUUUAAUAAUCUCCAUUGUGAGUAGGUAUUUGAAUAUUUUACCACUAUACACUGCAUCAAAAGUUAAACUUAGCAUUAGUUUCAACCAAAUGAAACUACAGUAUGUAAGCUCACUAUUGAAGAAGAUAUCACUUUUCACGCAAGAUUGAAAAUUUGUAGCACAUUCGUUUUUUACAACGAUAGCGAUUCUCCGAGAUUCUUAUUAACAAGGUAUAUAGCUUCCGGGAGAAUUUCUUGAUGUUUCGACAGUUUUUGAAGGGAACAUGUCGCAGCGGGACUCAGCUAAGGCGAAACAGCUUUUACUUUCAAGCCAUGCAACGAAAAAACAGUUGAGUUCUAAAUGUCUUUUUCAAUAGGCUUAAUCCAGGUUUGAAACACACAAUGUAUCUGGAAAAAGAAUCAAAACUAAAUCAUGUCUGAAGGAAGUUGCGUGCUAAAAUGCUCAUAAAAGUCGUUAAAAAUGGCAUUUUCUCUAAGCAAUUGGCAAUAUCAAUUGGUCUAGGACUGAAGUGAAUUAAAUUUGCGGUUUUCUUGAAACUUCUUUAAAGUGGAUUUUUGUAUGUUUAGACUAACAAAUGAUAGUUUCUUUUGUUUAGCAGAUACUUAUAUACCGAGCAAAUCCUACAACAGCUGUUUUGUAACCAAAUUAGUACGUUUUUUGCGUUAAGGCUGAAAUGGAGAAUACGAGAAAAGAAUUGUUAAGUCACGGACACACUAUUCCAAGAACGUAUAACUCACGUAACAGAAAUAUAACAAACUGUGUCAUGUUCCUCGUAAAACCGCAAGAUAUUUCAUUGUCUGAUUUAACAUCAUUAAAUUGAAAGGUGUGCAUGUACUUUCUAUGUUAAUUAAUUAAUGGCUUGCUUUUUAAUAACAUCAAUGAAGAUAUAUGCAUAUUGAGUUUCUUAUGACUAUAGCAAUUUUAUAGCUUUUAAGCUGAUAUCCAGCAAAAUAAAUCCCCCAUUAUCUGGAUCUGUGGUAAUUUUGGUCUACAUGAAUCACAACUUGAUAGGAACGUCUAUGCUAGAUCUCGCUGCCCCGCACAUGAUCGAUGAUGCUUCAUUCACCAUUCAGGGUGUUAUUUAGCCUUACAGCGGUCUCAUAGUCAUUUACCUUAUUAGGAAUGACACAAGCUAACAAGGUUAAAAUCAUCACGGUCGUAUAAAAUUCGGCUCCAGUAGGUCACGAAUUUGUGUUCAAGUUAAUUAGAACAAGACACAUCACACAAGGAUCAAUGGUGGUUACAUUUAAGGGCGAAAUUUCCCUUCAUGCAUGGUAAUUAUCUUUGUUGUUAGACGCUUACAGCGUCUUAUAAGUAAGGAACUCUUAAUUUUUAACUGCACGAUAGAGAUCAACAGUAGAUAAAUCUUUCUAUUCUUUAAACAUAAAUUUAUCUCUUUCUUUGUGUCGACCCAUCUCCUCGUUAACUCGGAAUACAAUACAAGUUUCAGACAAAGUUAACAAACGUACUUUCUUGAUCUAGGAACCGUCAACAAUGUCGCUUUGCGGAGACAAUGAUUUACCUAAAGGUAAUCUAAUAACGCCGAAACAAUCAGGAAAACAACAUUCAACAGGAUAAUAUGAAAUUUACAUAAAAUCAUUAAUUUUCCACUCCAUUCUUCAGAAAAUAACUUAUUUACAAUUUGAUACCACGCGUAGCUAUUAAGUGUCAAGAGGCCUUUUCAGCCGAGGGAUAGUCAGAAAGUGAUGGUAAGCAUAGUAAGGUGUCGUGUAAACGGCAUCCGUCUCAUCUCUGAGGAACACAAGACUCGGGGAGCAGGUAGUAGUGAAGCACCAUUAUACUUGUGGAGCGAUCCUCAAUGGUAUGAAAGCAAUCAGUAAGAUAUGAUAAGUUAAUUUGGUUUUAUCAACUGGGUUGAUAAAGUGAAUUGGCCACCGUAAAGAGAUUCGAAUCUCUUUCCGGUGGCCAAUUCACAUUGUCAACCCAGUUGAUAAAACCAGAUUAUCUUGUUGUACAGUUUCUUCAGAAACUUACCCGCUCUAUUCAUUUGUAGUAAGAUAUGAUAGUUAUCUUGGAUUACAUGCCAAUAAAGCCGAGUUUCCUGGCGAUCACUAAUUCAAUAAUCCAAAGUAGAUUUAAAAGCACCAUGGCUCCCCUGUAUUUCACUCUGGCGGAAUUUUGAAGAUGAACGCUCUAAAAUCUGUGGUGAUUCUCUCCCUGCUUGUGACUGUAAUCGCUGGACGGAGCAUGAGGAGAUGCAAAUGGGGCUCUGCCUUGGGCUGCCGCGAGCCCAGACCAGAGCAGGACGCCGGUAUUUCGCGGGUACUCAAAGAGGAAUGGCGAGGAAUUCCGGCAACCUUUCAGGACCAAGAUGAAGGAGACAUUCCAGACGACAGCAACAAUGCAAUGGAUUCAUUGGAAAUGAAGAACGGAAAGAGGGCAUUUGGAUACAAAAGUUUCAAGGCUUUUUUAGAGGACUUGGAUCAAUAACAAGGAUUAAACCCCAGACGCAAUACUUUGCAGAUUUUAAAAAUAGUACUUAUUGUGAAACUCUAGCAACAUAAUGGUGCAUUCAGUUUUGUUUUUGUUUGUUUGUUUUUCAAUUGGCAUAAAUUAAAAACUGUAGUCAACUUUCAAGCAAUAGAAGCUGUUGAACUAAGUUCUUGCACGUAAUCGAACUUGUUCCUUGACAUUCUCAAACUCACUAAUAAUUAAUAUUCAUCAAGUUAAUUAGGGGGAAUAUCAUUAAAUAGAGAUUAAUGUCAUUUGCAUGAAAAGAACUCCCCGUACUAGGCUCAGUUGCAAGCUAGUUACAGUCCAAUACUAAGAAUAUAAUAAGUCAAGUUGUUCUUUCAUUUUGAUUAGGUCUUACUUACGAUCUAUUGGAAGACAGACCCAUAAAUGACGUCAUUAACAAUUUCUUUGAUUUCUCCAUUAUAUUGUUUUGCGUCUGUUCAGUAAUAUAGACGACAGAAGACGUCAAAAUGUGCUAAGAACGGCUUGUCCGCAGCUUCUUUGUUCUUACCACAUUUUGACGUCAUCUGUGAUCUAUUACUGAAAAGACGCACGGAAACAUGGAAUCUAUUUGUUAAAUAGCAAAGCAGUGGGUAGUGUUUUUCAUGCAUUCUGAUUGGUAUGUGCUAUUCACCUACCAGCAGCCCCUCCCAGCUCGCAAGAGUCGUAAGCACAAAGAAAACUACAAGAUUUCACUUGUCAGUAUUUACAAUUACCAUAUGGUUUUUGUUUGCAGCCGAUAUGGCGCACAUUCUGAUUGGCUAACUCUAGGUCAUUAUUCUCCCGUAAUGCCGAUUACGUGCCUGCAAAUACAAAGCCUUAUAGUAAUCAACUUAUGAACCUCGACCGUUCGAUCGUUACGGGAAAAUCUCAAUCCUCGGCCUUGUCAUCUUGACUUCGCCAUGCUCGGUCAAUACGGCAAGGUCGCGGUUUGAGACUUUCCCUUGAAGACCUCACUCUCGGUUAAUAAUUAGUUAGUACAGUUGUAAUAUAUUAAGCCGUGAUGUUAUCGACGAAAUCAACACACAACUAUCUGUUAAAAAACACAGUUUACAACAACUUCAACAAAGCAGCUUUAGUGUUUCUGUUUACUGUUUCGUGCCCAGUCGAGGGUGGCCGUUGUUGUUCUGCGCAAACGACCGUUGUUUCGUUGAGAAGCGGCUCUUCCAACGCUCAGCCAACAUGGAGCGACUAACUUCCUCAUCACCAAGAGACAUUAACCAAAAAUAUUCAUGACUCAACCAAACACCGAAAAAAUCUUCAAAGACAAAUGUCCAAAUGUUUUUGUUUUUAGUGGCCAAUGCGCUUAACUAUACUUAGCUAGUUCACAGGCAUGCCACUUAAACUGUGCUACCAAUCAGUAUUACACUGCAUGUUAAAGGUAAAGUCUGCUGGGCGUUGUCAUUGUUCCCGUAAUAUGUGUAUAUGUUUUUGUUUUUUUUUGGCAAUGUGAUAUAUAUUUAUGUCAGGAUACAUAUUUCUAUCAUGAUUCUGGAAAGCGCAUUUCUAAUUAAGUUGAUAAAUGCAAUUUUAAGAAACUGCACCAAAGUUACUCAGCGGACAUGACCUUAGUAAGAUCACCUUAACAGAGAGAAACUUUCUUAACUCUUUAUUCUAUAAGAUAAGAAAUUGAUAAAUUGAUAAUUCCUCAUUCCCACUUUAAUGAGAAUUUUGGUGAUACGAUACCGCCUACUGUCAUUAAGUAUUGUUUUAAGGGACUUUGCGGGCCUUUUCAGGAACAAAGAAAACUAAGAUGAAAAGAAAAGCUUCUAAAACCAGGUGAAAUUUAAAAACCUUCACAUGCGCAAGGAUCCUUAACAAAAGCAAUCAGAAAUGUGCUUAUUGCACAAAAGCGUUGCGGGUUUUUUCACGAUCCACAAAAGAUAUACCUGUAUCAAAAAUUCCGAAAAAAAAUUAAUCGACUCUCAAUUUUAAAAGAAUAUCGUAACAGUACAAAGACGAAAAAAGACAGAUAUAAUUCAAAGAAG